GACAGAGGCCUCAAGCGUUAGGCGGAAUCACUGGGCUUAAAGCGUGUGUAGGCGGAUCGUUAAGUGCCUUGUGAAAUCCCACGGCUUAACUGUGGAACGGCUGGGCAUACUGGCGGUCUUGAGCCAUCUAGGGGCGACUGGAACAAACGGUGGAGCGGUGAAAUGCGUAGAUAUCGAGAGGAACACCAGUGGCGAAGGCGGGUCCCUGGACAACACCUGACACUGAGGCACGAAAGCUAGGGGAGCAAACAGG
RNAcentral lists this ribosomal RNA (253 nucleotides) under uncultured prokaryote. Its description in RNAcentral is "partial 16S ribosomal RNA". It matches the Rfam family "Bacterial small subunit ribosomal RNA", at positions 524 to 776 of the family's 1533-position model. The record is from RNAcentral.